Molecule: ribosomal RNA, 579 nt
Filed under: Colletotrichum gloeosporioides
Lineage: Eukaryota; Fungi; Ascomycota; Sordariomycetes; Glomerellales; Glomerellaceae
Description: eukaryotic LSU rRNA
Rfam family: 5.8S ribosomal RNA (bases 216-369)
Source: RNAcentral
UCGUAACAAGGUCUCUGUUGGUGAACCAGCGCAGGGAUCAUUACUGAGUUUACGCUCUAUAACCCUUUGUGAACAUACCUAUAACUGUUGCUUCGGCGGGUAGGGUCUCCGCGACCCUCCCGGCCUCCCGCCUCCGGGCGGGUCGGCGCCCGCCGGAGGAUAACCAAACUCUGAUUUAACGACGUUUCUUCUGAGUGGUACAAGCAAAUAAUCAAAACUUUUAACAACGGAUCUCUUGGUUCUGGCAUCGAUGAAGAACGCAGCGAAAUGCGAUAAGUAAUGUGAAUUGCAGAAUUCAGUGAAUCAUCGAAUCUUUGAACGCACAUUGCGCCCGCCAGCAUUCUGGCGGGCAUGCCUGUUCGAGCGUCAUUUCAACCCUCAAGCUCUGCUUGGUGUUGGGGCCCUACAGCUGAUGUAGGCCCUCAAAGGUAGUGGCGGACCCUCCCGGAGCCUCCUUUGCGUAGUAACUUUACGUCUCGCACUGGGAUCCGGAGGGACUCUUGCCGUAAAACCCCCCAAUUUUCCAAAGGUUGACCUCGGAUCAGGUAGGAAUACCCGCUGAACUUAAGCAUAUCAAUA